Molecule: ribosomal RNA, 254 nt
Filed under: uncultured bacterium
Lineage: Bacteria
Description: partial 16S ribosomal RNA
Rfam family: Bacterial small subunit ribosomal RNA
Source: RNAcentral
CACGUAGGGUGCGAGCGUUGUCCGGAUUUAUUGGGCGUAAAGAGCUCGUAGGCGGUUUGGUAAGUUGGAUGUGAAAUCUCCAGGCUCAACUUGGAGGGGUCAUUCGAUACUGCCAUGACUAGAGUUCGGUAGGGGAGUGUGGAAUUCCUGGUGGAGCGGUGAAAUGCGCAGAUAUCAGGAGGAACACCCGUAGCGAAGGCGGCACUCUGGGCCGGAACUGACGCUGAGGAGCGAAAGCGUGGGGAGCGAACAGG